Molecule: ribosomal RNA, 35 nt
Filed under: Fusarium verticillioides
Lineage: Eukaryota; Fungi; Ascomycota; Sordariomycetes; Hypocreales; Nectriaceae
Description: partial large subunit ribosomal RNA
Source: RNAcentral
UGACGAUCGGAUCAGGUAGGAAUACCCGCGACUUA